Unclassified non-coding RNA from Pongo abelii (Sumatran orangutan), 148 nucleotides. It matches the Rfam family "Metazoan signal recognition particle RNA". From Rfam's summary of the family: The signal recognition particle (SRP) is a universally conserved ribonucleoprotein. Lineage: Eukaryota; Metazoa; Chordata; Mammalia; Primates; Hominidae. The record is from Ensembl.
GCCGGGCAUGGUGGUGCAUGCCUGUAAUCCCAGCUACUCAGGAGGCUGAGGCAGGAGAAUCGCUUGAACCCGGAAGGCGGCGGUUACAGUGAGCUAAGAUGGCGCCACUGCACUCCAGCCUGGGUGACAGAGUGAGACCUUGUCUCAG